Molecule: ribosomal RNA, 253 nt
Filed under: uncultured bacterium
Lineage: Bacteria
Description: partial 16S ribosomal RNA
Rfam family: Bacterial small subunit ribosomal RNA
Source: RNAcentral
UACAGAGGUCUCAAGCGUUGUUCGGAUUCAUUGGGCGUAAAGGGUGCGUAGGCGGCGCGGUAAGUCGGGUGUGAAAUCUCGGAGCUUAACUCCGAAACUGCAUUCGAUACUGCCGUGCUUGAGGACUGGAGAGGAGACUGGAAUUUACGGUGUAGCGGUGAAAUGCGUAGAUAUCGUAAGGAACACCAGUGGCGAAGGCGGCGACCUGGGCCAAUACUGACGCUGAGGUGCGAAAGCGUGGGGAGCAAACAGG